UUGGAGGGCAAGUCUGGUGCCAGCAGCCGCGGUAAUUUCAGCUCCAAUAGCGUAUAUUAAAGUUGUUGCAGUUAAAAAGCUCGUAGUUGAAUUUCGGGAUCAAUUUAUUGGUCGUGCCAACGGUACGCACUGGUACAAUUGGUUUCUCCCUUCUGACGAAGCAUGAUGUCAUUAAUUUGAUGUCGUGGGGAAUCAGGACUGUUACUUUGAAAAAAUUAGAGUGUUUAAAGCAGGCUUUGGCUUGAAUACAUUAGCAUGGAAUAAUGAAAUAGGACGUUUGAUCUUAUUUCGUUGGUUUCUAAGAUCGACGUAAUGAUUAAUAGGGAUAGUUGGGGGCAUUAGUAUUCAAUUGUCAGAGGUGAAAUUCUUGGAUUUAUUGAAGACUAACUACUGCGAAAGCAUUUGCCAAGGAUGCUUUCAUUAAUCAAGAACGAAAGUUAGGGGAUCGAAGACGAUCAGAUACCGUCGUAGUCUUAACCAUAAACUAUGCCGACUAGGGAUCGGACGAUGUUAAUUUUUCUUGACUCGUUCGGCGCCUUACGGGAAAC
This 548-nucleotide ribosomal RNA is filed under the name uncultured Glomeromycotina. RNAcentral describes it as "SSU rRNA". It matches the Rfam family "Eukaryotic small subunit ribosomal RNA", at positions 548 to 1098 of the family's 1831-position model. Lineage: Eukaryota; Fungi; Glomeromycota. The record is from RNAcentral.